CGAACGCUGGCGGCGUGCUUAACACAUGCAAGUCGAACGCGAACGGUUUCUUCGGAAACCUAGUAGAGUGGCGCACGGGUGAGUAACGCGUAGAUAACCUGUCCUUAUGUCUGGGAUACCCCACCGAAAGGUGGACUAAUACCGGAUGUUCUUGUUUUCCAUAAGUAUAAUAAGAAAAGGUGGCCUCUGAUUUAAGCUACUGCAUGAGGAGGGGUCUGCGUACCAUUAGCUUGUUGGUGGGGUAAGAGCCUACCAAGGCAUCGAUGGUUAGCGGGUCUGAGAGGAUGAUCCGUCACACUGGCACUGAAACACGGGCCAGACUCCUACGGGAGGCAGCAGUGAGGAAUAUUGCGCAAUGGGGGAAACCCUGACGCAGCGACGCCGCGUGAGUGAGGAAGGCUUUCGGGUCGUAAAGCUCUGUCAAAAGGGAAGAAAUGCAUAUGAGUUAAUACCUCUUAUGUUUGACGGUACCUUUAAAGGAAGCACCGGCUAACUCC
RNAcentral lists this ribosomal RNA (497 nucleotides) under uncultured bacterium. Its description in RNAcentral is "bacterial SSU rRNA". It matches the Rfam family "Bacterial small subunit ribosomal RNA", at positions 30 to 504 of the family's 1533-position model. The record is from RNAcentral.